Eriocheir sinensis (Chinese mitten crab) is the source of this 4009-nucleotide long non-coding RNA. RefSeq lists it as uncharacterized. The record is from RefSeq and is a predicted model, not a curated record. NCBI's taxonomy places the organism in Eukaryota, Metazoa, Arthropoda, Malacostraca, Decapoda, Varunidae. The transcript has 7 exons.
CUGUCAGGAUGCCUUGAUUUUGUCCAGCUCUUCUGAGUCUGCCAAACAAGUAAUGCUGUAGUUAUUUAUCCUUAAGACAGGCUGUUGAGCCCCUCUUCAUGUCACUACAAAAGUCAACACAAACAUGUACAAACAUCCUGAGGCUGUCCACACUCCACAAAGCUGUUCAAGUUAUCCGAGCCCAACAAAUGCCGGUAAUGGUGAGACUGUUCUUAUUGCAGAGGUUGUUGAGUCACUCUUCACGUCCUCCCUGAAGGAAGCCGGCGGCCUGAAGCACCGCGGGCAGGUCACCACCACCAGCCUGCAGGCCAGGGACCACAAACACCUCUGGAUGGGACUCUGGAAUGGCAGGCUUCACUGUGGCUUCACUAAGGCCUGGUUUGCAGUAAUUAGGUGAAGUUUGGGGCACAUGUUACAAGUGUGCCUGGCUGUGGUGCUCAUCUCCAUCCCUCUGGCCCCUGAGCCAGCAGCGGGUAAGGACCCCUCAGCCCCAGGACAUGGCCACUACAGUAUCUGGGUCACCACAGCUGCCUUGCCCAGGUUCCCUUUUUUAGACCAACCCAAAAGGCAGGAUGAACAGCUGGGUGGGUCGUCACUAUAACCCAGACCGGUGUGUUCAUAGCUAGCCGUCAACCUCUCCACCAAGGGAGCACACUGGUUGCUGUGUGUGUCUACUCUUUCAAAGCAAACACUGCCUGGGUCACUGUAACAGCAGCCUGCCCCUGUCCCUGCAGAGGAAGGUGUUCCUUCAGUGUGACAGGAGAAAGCUGAAAAUCAACCGCACGUGCAAGACAUGCCAGGCUCUGAUGUCCAGUGUGGAGGAGAUCGGAAUUCCUAUCAUGAGGGAGACACACAACCGCACCACACCCUCACCGGACGCCAGCAAGCUAUUGCCAUCCUGUAGUCGCCACACCUCCAGGCUGGUCGUGGCUUGGGGGGGAACCGUACAUUUUCUCCUCAGUUCUGUGUCUUAAUUUUAGCAGGGAGUUCUCCAGGCACACGCCAGCAUUGCCGCCAAGGACUUCACACUGCACUGCCCGAAACACCCGUCGAGGGUGAUGAGGAUGAGGAGACAGUCAAGAUUGUGCAGUGGGUGAAGAGCAAUGAGCCAAUGGGAGCCACCAUCAAGCAGGACGACCACUCCGGAGCCAUCAUCAUCACCCGCAUCAUGCAUGGCUGACUGCUCCGGCCUCAUCCAUGCUGCCGACGAGGUGCAGGGGUCAACACCUUCAAUGUGGAGGGCAAGACACGGGUGGAUGUCCACAAGAUGCUGGUGCAGGCGGAGGGCACCAUGACCUUCAGGCUGCUCCCGGCCAGCAGCUCGGUGCACCUCAGGGAGAGCAAGGUGAGGGUGCACGCCUACUUCCACUAUGACCCCAAGGAGGACAACAAGCACAUUCCCUGCAAGGAAGCCGGGCUGCCCUUCAACAAGCUGGACAUCCUGCACAUUGUGACCCAGGAUGACCCCUACUGGUAAGCCCUGGUGACCUCAUAAUGAAGCUUUGUGGCUCUCAGGUGAUCCAGUGUCCCGCUUGGCCUGCCCCACUCAUGGGGAGCUAUGCGGCUCAGGCCAACUGAGUGCUGGUGUGUGACAUUGCCCCUGCAGCAGCCCUGCUAGACCAGAGGACUUGACCGCUGCAGUGGUGCAUUCCGUCCACUGGUGAGUCACACAGCUCCCCGUGGGUGUGGGGUGAAACACACUGACACUGGAUCAGCUGGGCGCACCAAAUACAGCGUUCCACACAGCAGCCCCAUCACAGUGCUCCCCCAGCAGCUCUUAUAGGCGACCCUUUACUGAAAACAACAAUCACAGUCAAAGGAAACAUUUGUAGAAGGUGCUGCAAAGGUGUCACUGGCCACUCACAUAACUACAUCGUCUGCCUUAUGUACAAACACUGCCCCCCGUCUGCACAACAACAGGCCAGCCCGAGGCAGGGCUGCUGCAGCACCAGAGGGGGCUGUCGUGUGUCUCGCUGGGUGUGGUGGUGGGGGUGGCAGUGGUCACGGUGGCAGAGGUCUGGGCUUUCAGUGAGCAAGCACACUCCCAACAUCUGUAUUCAAUAGAGAGCACACACAGUCAGAGCUUUUUCGUUGCCUUUCCUUAUUGGUGGUUAUGUUCAUCUAUAAAUGUAGGUUGGGUUGUUUAAAGCACAUGAGACAGAGCACAAAAAGGCAUUUUCCAAUGAGUUCUUGUCUGUUUUUAUUUUUUAUUCAAAAUUUUCACCCAAACUUUGGUCCAACCAUUUCAAAUAGUCUGUUUGGACGGCGGAUUUCUUGGGUCCUUUCCUCCCCUCUGCUCUGCCGCUCACUCCCAACACCUGUUUUUCCCUCUCAUGUGUUAGCUACAGGUAACAUAGGAGAGGGAAAAACAGGUGUUGGGGCUGUGUGGCAGAGCAGAGGGGAGGAGAAGACCCAGGAAUCUACCGCCCAAACGGACCAUUUGAAAUGGUUGGACAUUUUUCAGCCUCUUAAUAUCACUAGAGCCAGGGCCCCACUGUAGACCCUGAGUCCCCUCCAUGAACACUAGGAGACAGUAAAGUAAGGGGAGGGCAGGGACAGAACAAUGCCUGAUGAGCUAACAAGAGGUGUGUGUUGCUUCUUGCCUUCAACUCACCAAUGUCAGCAGGAGAAACAGUCUACACUACAAGUAGCCUCAGCCCCUACCAUCACGGCUGACAUGCCCAAUAAGCCCCACAGCCUCCCUCACCCUCCAGGCCAACAUCAGCAUCAGCUCCAAUUUCUAACACUUGCUGGGUAGCCGUUGUUGGCGAGAAGCUGGGAAACUCUCUUCAGCUCGGUGUUCGCGGCUGCCCAUGUUGAGGUGUGUGUGAGGGCCCUCUUGACAAAGGCGCUGAUUAUGCUGCGCCUAUAUCUUUCGGGGCAUUCGCUAGCACCGUUGAGACAGAACCCGAGGUUAGUGGCUUUCACGUACACUUCUGUUGAAAAAGAUGUGUCCUCACGGUGCACCAUGGUGUCCAGAAAUGGGAGCUUCUUAUUUUGUUCUAUUUCAUGCGUGAAGUUUAAGCAGGAGUCGUUCUUGAAUUCGGUGAUUAACUCGUUGAUGUGGCUCAUGGUGUCAACGCUGAUGAAGAUGUCAUCGACGUACCUCGCGUAGAUUUGUGGUUUGAGUUGAGGGUGGCGUGCAAAUAGCCUUUCUUCGAUGGACCUCAUGUAGAAGUUGGCGAAGAGGACGCCGAGGGGUGAUCCCAUGGCCACACUGUCUCACUGCAUGUACACCUUGCCGUCGGGUCCGUAAAAUGGUACUUCUUUAAUACAUGCUUGUAGAAGGAGGUGUAGCGAGGCUUCGGGAAUGUUGAGUGGCUCUUCGUCUUCUAAGUGGUAGAUGCGUUGACAUAUGAGAUCUAUGGAUACGUCGAUCGGUACGUUGGUGAAGAGUGAUUCAACGUCCAUGGAUGCCAUGAUGUUGGAGGGACGGGUAGUCUUCAGGAGAUCGAGGAACUCUGUUGUGGACUUCAAACUGAAGGAGGCUGGUGUGAAUGGUGUGAUGAGUUCAUUGAGGCGCUUGGCGAGUUUGUAAGUAACUGAUGGUGUCUGGCUGAUGAUGGGACGUAGGGGGUGGCCUUCCUUGUGGGUCUUGACGUUGCCAUAAGCGUAACCCAGUUUGUGGUCGCCUUCGAUGAGGGGGAGCUUCGUACUGCUGUUGUUGUUAGUGUGGCGGAUGAUACGGUUCAACUUCGUCUUAAUAUCGUUCGUUGGGUUUCUUGUGAUUCUGCUGAAUUUUGUGGUGUCGGUCAGGAUGGUUGCCAUCUUAUUCAAGUAGACAUCUUUGUCAAGAAUGACAAAGAUAGAUGACUUAUCGGCCCUGCGGAUGACAGUGCGAUCGUUGCUCUUCAGUUCUUGGGCAACAGUUCGAAAUUCAGGUGUGAGGAGGGAGCUGCGCUGGUGUCCUCUUGUUAUCUUUGCUUCUCGGAUGAUUUCGGCUUGUAGGUCAGGUGAUGUUGUUACCCUCUUGUCGUUCUCGAGCUUUUGAAUGUCUUCGAGUAGCAUU